Molecule: ribosomal RNA, 217 nt
Filed under: Enterococcus faecium
Lineage: Bacteria; Bacillati; Bacillota; Bacilli; Lactobacillales; Enterococcaceae
Description: partial 16S ribosomal RNA
Rfam family: Bacterial small subunit ribosomal RNA
Source: RNAcentral
UUUUUAUGAGAGUUUGAUCCUGGCUCAGGACGAACGCUGGCGGCGUGCCUAAUACAUGCAAGUCGAACGCUUCUUUUUCCACCGGAGCUUGCUCCACCGGAAAAAGAGGAGUGGCGAACGGGUGAGUAACACGUGGGUAACCUGCCCAUCAGAAGGGGAUAACACUUGGAAACAGGUGCUAAUACCGUAUAACAAUCAAAACCGCAUGGCUUGGAUU